CCUCUCCUGCCCAUGGUGGGAGGUUGGGAAGGACAUUCCCCCAUUUCCAUUUGCUCUGCCAUUCAAAACCUUGUGAGGGCCCUCAGGGAAGAAUCCCUUUGCAGGUCAUAAACUGACCUGCAGAAUUAUGGGAUCUUAACUGUGGGGAGAGACCUAGAAGACCGGCUAGUGACCAGAUUCUCAUCUAACUCCUUUUUUUUUGCAGAUGAGGAAACUGAGGCCCCACGUGGUGAAGACAAUUUUUACCCGAAUCCACCCACAACAAGAGACCAUUUGGAUAAUGUACAUUAUGGGAAGAGAACAGAGUCUCAGUGAAGAUCAUGUUUCCCCAGCAACACAGGUGCCAGGAGUAGCUGGCUCUGGUCCCAGCCCAGACUCAGAAAUCCUGAGCCACCAGACCAUUUCUAGAUUAACAAUGACCCACUGGAAACCAGUGUCAGCAUAACAACAGUUACGAGAGCUAAACCUACAAAAUAGAAACACAAGUAAAACUUGUUCAAGUGGUUUGCAGUCAUUGAACAUAGAUCAGCUCCUAUGAAAACAAACUCCAUGGGUUUUCUUUGAUGGCAGUUCUGCUCUAAAGAUGGAUAAGGAAGGAGGUUCCAAGAUGGCCGAAUAGGAACAGCUCCAGUCUACAGCUCCCAGCAUGAGCAACGCAGAAGACAGGGGAUUUCUGCAUUUCCAAUUGAGAACACAGGAGCUAUGUGGAGAGUUGAUGGAGGGACAUUCCAGGCAGAGAGAACAGCAAACACAAAGGCCUUGAAGGGCUCAACACCACAUGGAAGCUGCCAAGGCUUGGGGCUCGCACCAUCUGAAGACAUGGUCUGAACUCUACGUUGGCCCUUUCAGCC
This 851-nucleotide long non-coding RNA is filed under the name Homo sapiens (human). Its description in RNAcentral is "HSALNT0347459". The record is from RNAcentral. Lineage: Eukaryota; Metazoa; Chordata; Mammalia; Primates; Hominidae.